Molecule: non-coding RNA, 191 nt
Filed under: Staphylococcus capitis
Lineage: Bacteria; Bacillati; Bacillota; Bacilli; Caryophanales; Staphylococcaceae
Description: T-box
Rfam family: T-box leader (bases 1-158)
About the family: Uncharged tRNA acts as the effector for transcription antitermination of genes in the T-box leader family. T-boxes are found upstream of many aminoacyl-tRNA synthetase genes and some amino acid biosynthetic genes usually in Gram-positive bacteria.
Source: RNAcentral
UUACACACUAUAAAAAGGAAAGUAGAACUUACACUGCUUUUACAGAGAGUCUUCGUUAGCUGAGAGAAGGUAUUGAAAGAAAGUUUGAAAAUGGCCUUGGAGUGUUGAUGCCAAUAUGAGGUAUCAACGGGUUCGCCCGUUAUAGCGAUACAGUAUUAACAUUGUAGUUGAAUGGCGUACUGGAAUUCAUU